This 71-nucleotide transfer RNA is filed under the name Strigamia maritima. It matches the Rfam family "tRNA". Rfam says of the family: Transfer RNA (tRNA) molecules are approximately 80 nucleotides in length. The record is from Rfam by way of RNAcentral. Lineage: Eukaryota; Metazoa; Arthropoda; Chilopoda; Geophilomorpha; Linotaeniidae.
UCCCAGGUAGCUUAAUGGUAAAGCACCCAACCGGCAAUUGGGGGAUCUGGGCUCAAGUCUCGGUCCGGGCU